Molecule: unclassified non-coding RNA, 494 nt
Filed under: Wittmackia linharesiorum
Lineage: Eukaryota; Viridiplantae; Streptophyta; Magnoliopsida; Poales; Bromeliaceae
Description: partial 26S-18S rRNA external transcribed spacer
Source: RNAcentral
GUCUAGCGUGGCACAAGUGGGCGUGUCGACAGCGACUCGGACAAGACCAUGUCCACACAUGAGCAGUCACGGAUUGGUGUCCCGCGGACUCCUUGCCUCUCGCAAUCAACCACCGAAGAGGCCAUCCUUCUUAGUCCUGUGCUCAUUUGUAUCUUUAGGCCAUCCUUUUUAGUCAUGUGCAUUGCGUGUGCCAUCUACCCAGCUCUGUAGGAAGUCUCUAUGUGCCAGUUCGCCUCACCACCUCGAGCGGGAGGCACAACCACAAUGUGGUCGUCGUGCGCACCUUAACGACACAACCCUUGGGCCCCAUGCUAGUUGGGCUCCUGAAGUAUCACAAGCUCUUGCGAAUGUAGCAGGCUUCGGGGACUUCGACCCUCAGCCUAGACCUUGGUAGGUCAUUAAGCCACCCUCGUCGAGACAACGGUCUAUCCACCGACGGGCCCCCUCCGUUCCCUGCGGGCGGUCGGGCGCCUAAACAGCACCGGCAUCACAAA